GGCAGACGGGUGAGUAAUGCAUAGGAAUCUACCUAGUAGUAUGGGAUAGCCACUAGAAAUGGUGGGUAAUACUGUAUAAUCCCUGCGGGGGAAAGAUUUAUCGCUAUUAGAUGAGCCUAUGUUAGAUUAGCUAGUUGGUAGGGUAAAGGCCUACCAAGGCAGUGAUCUAUAGCUGGUCUGAGAGGAUGAUCAGCCACACUGGAACUGAGAUACGGUCCAGACUCCUACGGGAGGCAGCAGUGGGGAAUAUUGGACAAUGGGCGCAAGCCUGAUCCAGCUAUGCCGCGUGAGUGAGGAAGGCCUUAGGGUUGUAAAACUCUUUCAGUGGGGAAGAUAAUGACGGUACCCACAGAAGAAGUCCCGGCAAACUCCGUGCCAGCAGCCGCGGUAAUACGGAGGGGGCAAGCGUUGUUCGGAAUUAUUGGGCGUAAAGGGCAUGUAGGCGGUUCGGUAAGUUAAAGGUG
Molecule: ribosomal RNA, 464 nt
Filed under: uncultured Anaplasma sp.
Lineage: Bacteria; Pseudomonadati; Pseudomonadota; Alphaproteobacteria; Rickettsiales; Anaplasmataceae
Description: bacterial SSU rRNA
Rfam family: Bacterial small subunit ribosomal RNA
Source: RNAcentral